This 275-nucleotide ribosomal RNA is filed under the name uncultured Gemmata sp. RNAcentral describes it as "partial 16S ribosomal RNA". It matches the Rfam family "Bacterial small subunit ribosomal RNA", at positions 338 to 623 of the family's 1533-position model. Lineage: Bacteria; Pseudomonadati; Planctomycetota; Planctomycetia; Gemmatales; Gemmataceae. The record is from RNAcentral.
CCUACGGGUGGCUGCAGUCGAGGAUCUUCGGCAAUGGGGGAAACCCUGACCGAGCGAGGCCGCGUGUGCGAUGAAGGCCUUCGGGUUGUAAAGCACUGUCGAGGGGGAGAAAACCGCAAGGGUGAUCUAUCCCUGGAGGAAGGACGGGCUAAGUUCGUGCCAGCAGCCGCGGUAAGACGAACCGUCCAAACGUUGUUCGGAAUCACUGGGCUUAAAGGGCGCGUAGGCGGGCUAUCAAGUCCGGGGUGAAAUCCUCCAGCUUAACUGGAGAACGG